GACGAACGCUGGCGGCGUGCUUAACACAUGCAAGUCGAACGGAAAGGCCCUGCUUGCAGGGUACUCGAGUGGCGAACGGGUGAGUAACACGUGGGUGAUCUGCCCUGCACUUCGGGAUAAGCCUGGGAAACUGGGUCUAAUACCGGAUAGUAGCCAUUUUUAGUGUGAUGGUUGGAAAGUUUUUUCGGUGUAGGAUGAGCUCGCGGCCUAUCAGCUUGUUGGUGGGGUAAUGGCCUACCAAGGCGGCGACGGGUAGCCGGCCUGAGAGGGUGGACGGCCACAUUGGGACUGAGAUACGGCCCAGACUCCUACGGGAGGCAGCAGUGGGGAAUAUUGCACAAUGGGCGCAAGCCUGAUGCAGCGACGCCGCGUGGGGGAUGACGGCCUUCGGGUUGUAAACUCCUUUCGCUAGGGACGAAGCUUUUGUGACGGUACCUAGAGAAGAAGCACCGGCUAACUACGUG
RNAcentral lists this ribosomal RNA (464 nucleotides) under uncultured bacterium. RNAcentral describes it as "partial 16S ribosomal RNA". It matches the Rfam family "Bacterial small subunit ribosomal RNA", at positions 28 to 507 of the family's 1533-position model. The record is from RNAcentral.